CCUGCCUCCACCGGUGCCUUGGUCCCCGCUGAAAUCACCGAGAUGCUGCCCUAGACUCCGCCCACCAGCGCCCAAACGCCGCCACGCUGUCGACGGGGAAGAGGGAUAGGGGACCCGCCGCACCGUCCUCCACCCCUCGCCGUCGGCCCCUCGCUCCGUGCUCACUGCCCUCCGCCACGCCCGCAGCGACCUCGCCUCCCUCCCUCAAUUCAGUUGACGCCGGGAAGAUGGGGAAAGUGAAGUGGUCAACGUAUAUGGAUAGGGUCG
This 267-nucleotide long non-coding RNA is filed under the name Sorghum bicolor (sorghum). RNAcentral describes it as "long non-coding RNA (SBIC_LNC002060)". Lineage: Eukaryota; Viridiplantae; Streptophyta; Magnoliopsida; Poales; Poaceae. The record is from RNAcentral.